AUACGGAGGGGGCAAGCGUUGUUCGGAAUUACUGGGCGUAAAGGGCGCGUAGGCGGCCAAGUCAGUCAGGCGUGAAAGCCCCGAGCUUAACUUGGGAACUGCAUUCGAUACUGUCUAGCUAGAGUAUGGUAGAGGGAAGCGGAAUUCCGGGUGUAGCGGUGAAAUGCGUAGAUAUCCGGAGGAACACCAGUGGCGAAGGCGGCUUCCUGGACCAAUACUGACGCUCAGGCACGAAAGCGUGGGGAGCAAACAGGAUUAGAAACCCCGGUAGUCC
This 274-nucleotide ribosomal RNA is filed under the name uncultured bacterium. Its description in RNAcentral is "partial 16S ribosomal RNA". It matches the Rfam family "Bacterial small subunit ribosomal RNA", at positions 523 to 796 of the family's 1533-position model. The record is from RNAcentral.